Molecule: transfer RNA, 106 nt
Filed under: Microcaldota archaeon
Lineage: Archaea; Nanobdellati; Microcaldota
Description: Candidatus Micrarchaeota archaeon (hot springs metagenome) tRNA-Leu
Rfam family: tRNA
About the family: Transfer RNA (tRNA) molecules are approximately 80 nucleotides in length. Their secondary structure includes four short double-helical elements and three loops (D, anti-codon, and T loops). Further hydrogen bonds mediate the characteristic L-shaped molecular structure. tRNAs have two regions of fundamental functional importance: the anti-codon, which is responsible for specific mRNA codon recognition, and the 3' end, to which the tRNAs corresponding amino acid is attached (by aminoacyl-tRNA synthetases). tRNAs cope with the degeneracy of the genetic code in two manners: having more than one tRNA (with a specific anti-codon) for a particular amino acid; and 'wobble' base-pairing, i.e. permitting non-standard base-pairing at the 3rd anti-codon position.
Source: RNAcentral
GCGGGGGUGGCAGAGUCAGGUCAAAUGCGCAGGACUGAGGCUCCUGUGCCUUUAGUGGCUGCGUGGGUUCAAACCGAAAGGUUGCCCAAAAAUCCCAUCCCCCGCA